Molecule: transfer RNA, 86 nt
Filed under: uncultured marine microorganism HF4000_ANIW141A21
Description: tRNA-Thr
Rfam family: tRNA
About the family: Transfer RNA (tRNA) molecules are approximately 80 nucleotides in length.
Source: RNAcentral
GCCCCGGUAGCAUAGCUCGGUCUAUUGCGUCCGCCUCGUAAUCUCGGGAUAGCGGGAGAUCGAGGGUUCAAAUCCCUCUCGGGGCU